CCUACGGGGGGCAGCAGUGAGGAAUAUUGGUCAAUGGCCGGGAGGCUGAACCAGCCAAGUCGCGUGAGGGAAGACGGCCCUACGGGUUGUAAACCUCUUUUGUCAGGGAGCAAGGUGCAGGUCGGGACCUUCUGCGAGAGUACCUGAAGAAAAAGCAUCGGCUAACUCCGUGCCAGCAGCCGCGGUAAUACGGAGGAUGCGAGCGUUAUCCGGGUUUCUUGGGUUUAAAGGGUGCGCAGGCGGACGCUUAAGUCAGCGGUAAAAGCGCGGGGCUCAACCCCGCUCCGCCGUUGAAACUGGGUGCCUUGAGAGCGCGAAGGGUAGGCGGAAUGCGGGGUGUAGCGGUGAAAUGCAUAGAUAUCGCGCAGAACUCCGAUCGCGAAGGCAGCAUACCGGCGCGCAACUGACGCUCAUGCACGAAAGCGUGGGUAUCGAACAGGAUUAGAUACCCGGGUAGUC
RNAcentral lists this ribosomal RNA (459 nucleotides) under uncultured bacterium. Its description in RNAcentral is "partial 16S ribosomal RNA". It matches the Rfam family "Bacterial small subunit ribosomal RNA", at positions 338 to 795 of the family's 1533-position model. The record is from RNAcentral.